GGACUUGCUGUGGACUGACCACGCAAAUGCCUUCUGCUAUCCGGAGAGCAGAAUAAACUCUUUCUCUGAAUCAACCUUGGUGUCAUUUGAUUUCCUUCCUCCCUCCCAGGAGCAACGCAGACCCCACCAGUCGGUGAAGUCUAAUAAGGCUACAAUAUUUAUAAUUUGUAAAAGGUAUGCUAUCUGUGUUUUAAAAUGUCCUCAAGCAGUCGGUGGCAUUUUAAUUUUUUUUCCUUUUUUCCUUAUUUUGCUUUUUUGGGGGUGGGUGGGAUGGAUAUUUGGUUGGGGAUUAAUUUUAGUAUAAUUGUUCUGUUUUUGUUUUUUGUUGUUUUAUUGGUUGUGUAUAGUUUGUGUUUUAUUUUUAAGGGGUGGGAUCAGGGCUGCCUGGGAGUGGGGCCCCAGCCAGCACAAUGGCUGGGACAAGUUCCACGGGGGGGGGGGGCACUGGGACAUCCAAUCUCUGUGAUCAUGGGCAGGAGGAGGAGUUACGCUAAGACCAGAGCAUGUCAUUAUCGAGGAGGCAGGUUUAGUCGUUGUUUGAAGACUAUCCCUGCCUCCGGGUCUGGCCUUGACCGGAUGGAUACUGGAAUCAACAGGGGAAACCCACAUGACCUGAAGGUGUUGCUGUGUAAUGCCAGGUCAAUGAUGAAUAAAAGCACUGCCAUCCAUGACUUGAUUGUAGAUGGAGGAUUUGACCUGGCACGUGUGACAAAGACCUGGUUGGAUGAAGCAGAUGGGCCUGUCCUUGCCGCUGCUUGCCCACCAGGUUUCUCUUAUGCACAGCAACCCAGGUCAUGUGGGUGGGGAGGGGGGGGUUGCAGUGAUUUUUAGGAAGUCAUUAGCUUGCAUCAGGCGUCCUACUGGGAAGACCCAGUUCUCUGAGUGCAUGUUCUGGAAGUUGGGCAAUAGGGGCAGUACAGGAUUCCUUUUGGUGUACCGACCUCCCCGCUGCACCAAGGAUUCCCUGUCCGAGCUGCUUCAGGUCGUGGCGGAUGUUCUCCUGGAGACACCUAGUUUGGUUGUCCUAGGGGAUUUUAACAUCCAUGCCGACAUGACUUUACAGGGGGCCGCUCGGGACUUCGUGGAAAGCAUGGCCUCCAUGGGGCUGUCCCUGAAUAAGUUUGGCCCAACUCAUAGUCACGGACAUGCCUUAGACCUGGUGUUCACCUCUAGUGACGUGGGUGUUCUGACACUAAGUAAAAGUGAAACAAAAGAAGUGCCAUGGUCAGAUCACCUCCUGGUGCAACUGGACUUCUCCGCGACCCUUCCCCUCUGCAGGGAGGUGGGACCAAUUUGGAUGGUCCGCCCCCGCCACUUAAUGGGUCCAAAUGGUUUCCAGAGAGUGGUAGGGCAUGCUUUAUCCCAUGUUGAAGGCCUUUCAGCUGAUUCCCUGGUGGCCUGCUGGAAUGCGGAGUUAACCAGGGCUAUCAACUGUCUGGCUCCGAAGCGCCCUAUCCAAUUGCAUGGAGCCCAGACAGCCCCGUGGUUUUCUUCGGAGCUGAGGGCAAUGAAACAAUUGCUUAGGCGGCUAGAGCGUCGGCGCCAGAAAACUCAUUCCAAAUCUGACCGGACACAGGUUAGAGUUCAACGUCGAGCCUACCAAGUGGCGAUAGCGACGGCGAAGAAGACUUUCUUCACCGCCUCUAUUCCAUCUGCAGAAAAUAGUAGCAGGAGACUCUUUCAGGUGGUCCGCAAUUUAACGGAACCACCUUUACCACCGGGGCCUUGUAAAGACCCCAAGAUCUCCUGCAACGAUUUUGCAAAGUUUUUUGCAGAUAAAAUCACUCAUAUUCGGAAGGAGCUAGACACCACCAUGGGAGCAGGGCUGGGGCGGGAGAGUGCUAGAGCCCUGUCUGGUCAAGUUGCAUGGAAUCAAUUUCAAUCCGUUACCCCCGAGGAUGUGGACAGGCUGCUUGGACGCGUGAAACCAACCACCUGUCUCCUUGAUCCUUGCCCAUCCUGGCUAAUAAAAGCAAGCCGGGAAGGGCUGGGCGAUGGGCUUUGCGGGGUGGUGAAUGCUUCCCUCUGUGAGGGAAAGUUCCCAGAUCUGCUGAAAGAGGCGGUCAUUAAACCGCUUCUUAAAAAAACAUCUUUAGAUCCAGCCAGUAUGGCCAACUAUCGCCCAGUCUCAAAUCUUCCAAUCUUGGGCAAGCUGAUUGAGCGAGUGGUUGCUGAGCAACUCCAGGCAUGCCUGGAGGAUGCAGACCAUUUGGAUCCCUUCCAAUCAGGAUUCAGGCCUCAUCAUGGGACUAAAACUGCCUUGGUCGCGCUAGUUGCUGAUCUCCGGCGAGCUAGGGACAAAGGUGAGAGCUGUUUCCUAGUUCUGCUGGAUCUCUCAGCGGCCUUUGAUACAAUCGACCAUAACAUCCUUCUGGACCGUCUAGAGGGACUGGGAGCUGAGGGCACUGUUAUACAGUGGUUUUGCUCCUUCCUCCUGGGCCGUGUUCAGAAAGUGGUGGGGGGGAUGAGUGUUCAGACCCCUGGGCCCUCACUUGUGAGGUGCCUGAGGGUUCCGUCCUCUCCCCCAUGCUUUUUAACAUCUAUAUGAAGCUGCUGGGAGAGAUCAGGGGUUUGGACUGGGUGUCCAUCAAUAUGCAGAUGAUACCCAGUUCUACCUCUCUUUCAAAUCAGAACCAGUGAAGGCGGUGAAGGUCCUGUGUGAGUGCCUGGAGGCGGUUGGAGGAUGGAUGGCGGCUAAUGGAUUGAGGUUGAAUCCUGACAAGACAGAAGUACUGUUUUGGGGGGACAGGGGGUGGGCUGGUGUGGAGGACUCCCUGGUCCUGAAUGGGGUAACUGUGCCCCUGAAGGACCAGGAGCGCAGCCCGGGAGUCAUUUUGGACUCACAGCUGUCCAUGGAGGUGCAGGUCAAUUCUGUAUCCAGGGCAGCUGUCUACCAUCUCCACCUGGUACACAGGCUGAGACCCUACCUGCUCGCGGACUGUCUCUCCAGAGUGGUGCAUGCUCUAGUAAUCUCCCGCUUGGACUACUGCAAUGCGCUCUACAUGGGGAUACCUUUGAAGGUGACCUGGAAACUACAACUAAUCCAGAAUGCGGCAGCUAGACUGGUGACUGGGGGCGGCUGCCAAGACCACAUAACACUGGUCUUGAAAGGCCUACAUUGGCUCCCAGUACGUUUCCGAGCACAAUUCAAAGUGUUGGUGUUGACCUUGAAAGCCCUAAACGGCCUCGGUCCUGUAUACCUGAAAGAGCGUCUCCACUCCCAUUUUUCUGCCCGGACGCUGAGGUCCAGCACCAAGGGCCUUCUGGCGGUUCCCUUCCUGCGAGAAGCAAAGCUACAGGCAACCAGGCAGAGGGCCUUCUCGGUAGUGGCGCCUGCCCUAUGAAACGCCCUCCCAUCAGAUGUCAAAGCGAUAAACAACUACCUGACAUUCAGAAGACAUCUUAAGGCAGCCCUGUUCAGGGAAGUUUUUAAUGUGUGACGUUUUAGUGUAUUUUCGGUCUCUGUGGAAGCCACCCAGAGUGGCUGGGGAAACCCAGCCAGAUGGGCAGGGUACACAUAAUAAUAAUAAUAAUAAUAAUUAUUAUUAUUAUUAUUAUUAUUAUUAAUGUCUCCCUAAAAAAACCUGCUUUUCUGUGAACCGCCCAUAGAACUCCUGGAAUAGGGCGGUAUAUAGAUUAAAUCAAUAAUAAUAAUAAUAAUUUCUGCAUUGUUCUCCUUAAAGAGCUGCUCCCUGCUUUGAAGUGCAUCUUGGCAACAGCUGAGAGAGUCCCAGAAGUGGCCCAGUUUACGCCUCCUCCUCCGUCCUUUCCACUGGCAACACAAUGGCCUCCGAGACCCCCUCUGAACGGCCUCUUCUCAGAGGUGGAGUGAAAAGAGGAGCCAGGCAGCUUCCUCAGGUAGGGUAAGAGCAACGGGAGCAGGGAGGAGGGAAGAGGCACAGAUGGGACUGUGAGGAGAACCUGAGCUUACAGGGUUAAACAGCUCAGAGUGUACGCCCUGCCUACUGUUGGGAGGGGGGAACUUCUGCGUCAUAUCUGAGAGCCUCCAGCCUUUGUUCUUUCUCUACUUUCGCUUUUGAGGAGAGUGGACGUGUUUUCACGAUGCUGUUCGCUGUGAUAGAUAAUGGAUAGUCUGCUGUAAAUAAAAAACUGCUUCUAGCUGCUAAUAUCCUGAGUGGACUUUAUUUAAGCACACUCAAGAAUGCACUGGAGUUUUGCAGCUUUCUCUUACCGCUGCUGAUCUCUGCGUGUUGCUCAGAGCCUUUGGAAUGUGGCCUUUGAAGUCCGGAGGCCUGGCCAGUAGCUACGCAGCCGAGCGGGCUGGACGCCAGGAUUUAUCUGAGCAAUAAAUCUUCUUCAGAGGGACAACUCAGCCUCCUUCUGUGUUGAGUGGGGAUGAUGAGGAUCUAAGAGAAGCUCUGUUGUUGUUUUCUUCUUCUUCUUCCAGGCCCUUUUGACCUUUGAGGAUGUUGCUGUCUUUUUCACGGAGGAGGAGUGGGCUCUGCUGGAUCCAGGCCAAAGAGCUCUGCACAAGGAAGUCAUGGAGGAGAAUUAUGAGAUGGUGGCCUCUCUAGGUAAGGGCAGAUUUUUAUUCCUCCUGGCUGUUAGAUGUUGAAGGUGUGAAUCUCCUGUUUGAGCCAUUUGUUCAUGUCAUGUCUUUGGUGACCACUCAUAGAAGAGUAAGAUUCUCUUCCAUGAACAUGAUCUUAAUGGUGUGUCCGUAAGUGAGUCCAAUUCUGGAUCCGCACAUCGUUCCGCAGUGGGGACAUAGGUUUCCGGUCAGGAAUUAAUCACUGCGAGAGUUUGCCAAACAUGCUUUCCUCUUAGCUUGUUUCUCCCUUUUGGCCUGAGUUUGUGUUUCUUCAAAGUCCAUUACACCUUUGGUAAAGGGCGGGUGGCACUGUGGGUUAAACCACAGAGCCUAGGACUUGCCGAUCAGACGGUCGGCGGUUCGAAUCCCCUCAACGGGGUGAGCUCCCGUUGCUCGGUCCCUGCUCCUGCCAACCUAGCAGUUCGAAAGGAUGUCAAAGUGCAAGUAGAAGGUAAACGGCGUUUCCAUGUGCUGCUCUGGUUCGCCAGAAGCGGCUUAGUCAUGCUGGUCACAUGACCCAGAAGCUGUACGCCGGCUCCCUCGGCCAAUAAAGCGAGAUGAGCGCCGCAGCCCCAGAGUCGGCCACAACUGGACCUAACGGUCAGGGGUCCAUUUACCUUUACCUUUAUUCUCGAAUUGAAGCGCUCGCAGGCCAAUGUUUCCCAAUUUUAUGAGAUUAUACUGCAUUUUAAAAAUUUUCCCUUGAGAGCGUCUUGAAACGUCUUUUGUUGUCCUCCGUUAUUUCUCUUUCCAUUCUUAAAUUAGGAAUUGAGUGGUUUCUUUUGAAGGCAAUAAUCAGGCAUCCGAACAACAUGACCAGCCCAAUGAAGUUGAUGUUGAAGAUUGUAGUUUAUAGCAACUCUGUACUUUUGUCAGUAGGUAACUCUUCGUAAGCUCAUAUUGUGGUAUGAAUUUCCCUCCAAAACCUAUGUAAAAUCUACAAAGAGGCUCACAGGGUAAUAAUGGUGGCAUGAGGUUUGCUGGUCAGUGUUGUUUAUCAACUUUUAAUGGGCCACCAGAUACUUUGCUGUCUUUGUUUCACAAGAUUAAUAUUUUUGAAAAUUUUUACAGUCACAUAUGACAUAAACAGCUCUUCUGAUUUUCUUAUUCCACAUAGCAGAGACUCUGAUACUCAAGUCUGAGCUCAUCUCCUCGCUUGGAACAGAAAAAUACAGGGAUGUUGUCCUGGACCAAGUGAGAGGUACAUACUUCCACUUUGCUGUGAGGCUGUACCAUUGUAUGUCUCCUUUCAGGGUGUACAAAUAUAAAAGAAAGCCCUUUUGGAUCAGAACGAGGGCCCAUCUUUCCCAGCAUCCUGGUGCAGGUUUAGGCGAUGUGUACAGUUGGUUGGAAUGUAUCAGUGAGAUAUUACAGAUCAUGGAGGAAGGAGAAAACUGAAUACAGAGGCAUAGCAUUUUCACAGGAGGGGGGGAAGAUGUGUCCCUCCAGAGGUUGCUGUACUACAACUCCCAUCAUCCCUGGUCAUUGGCCAUCUUUGCUUGGGUUGAGGGUACUUAGAGUCCAACCAAAUCUGGAGGGCCAUAGAUGCCUCAUCUCAGCACAGAAGGUUCUCUUGGUGCUCAGUGUUACAUGCGAGUUGAAGGUAGAACUGGAUACUAAGGGUUCUUGAAAUUAUUUUCAGAUUUCCUUUCCUUUCCGAAAACUUUAGUACAUAGAAGAGGGAAGGAUGCUGGAGGUGUUAAGUUAAGAGAAGGUGCUGAUUGGUCUUGCUGUGUGUUAAGUUCUCUGGUUCUCUUCCUUGAAUACCUAACAAUAUUUCUUUAUCCCCCACUUUAAACCAGGUGAUGAAGAAGGCAAUCAGAAUUUUGAGGGGCCAUCUGUAAAGUACUUCAGCAUGAGUGAACACCUUAGCACACAUCUACAAACUAACACAGGGGAGAAACACUUUAAAUGCAUGGAGAGUGGAAAGAGCUUCAGUAAAAAUGGAAACUUCACUAGACAUCAACGAAUUCACACAGGGGAUAAACCAUUUAAAUGCAUGGAGUGUGGGAAAAGUUUUGCUUAUAGUAGCAGCCUUAGAACUCAUCAGCUAAUUCACACAGGGGAAAAACCAUAUAAAUGUAUAAAGUGUGGAAAGAGCUUCAGGCAGUGUUCACACCUUACUGUACAUCUACGAACUCACACACGGGAGAAACCUUUUAAAUGUAUGGAGUGUGGAAAGAGCUUUAGGGAUAGGGAAAUACUUACUGUACAUCAACGAAUUCACACUGGGGAGAAACCAUUUAGAUGCAAGGGUUGUGGGAAGGGUUUCAGUGAAGGUAGAAAACUUACAAUACAUCAACGAACUCACACAGGGGAGAAACCAUAUAAAUGUAUGGAGUGUGGGAAGAGCUUCAGUGAAGGUGGAAAAUUUACUAGACAUCAACGAAUUCACACUGGGGAGAAACCAUUUAAAUGUAUGGAGUGUGGGAAGAGCUUCAGUCAGUGUUCAUACCUUAAUAUACAUCAACGUAUUCACACAGGGGAGAAACCAUAUAAAUGUAUGGAAUGUGGGAAGAGCUUCAGUGAAAAUAGAAACCUUACCUUACACCAACGAAUUCACACUGGGGAGAAACCAUUUAGAUGUAUGGAUUGUGGGAAGAGCUUCCGUCAUGGUCCAUACCUUACUGUACACCAACGUAUUCACAAAGGGGAGAAACCUUUUAAAUGUCUGGAGUGCGGAAAGAGCUUCAGUACAAAUGGAAACUUUACUAGACAUCAAGGAAUUCACAAAGGGGAAAAACCAUUUAAAUGUCUGGAUUGCGGAAUGAGCUUCACUGAGAAUGGAUCUCUUACUCGACAUCAACGAAUUCACACAGGGGAGAAACCAUUUAGAUGUAUGGAGUGCGGAAAGAGCUUCAUUCAGUGUUCACACCUUAGUAGACAUCAACGAACUCACACAGGUGAGAAACCAUAUAAAUGUAUGGAGUGUGGAAAGAGCUUCAUGUGUAGUUGGCAACUCAAUGCGCACCAUCAAAGUCACACCGGGGAGAAACCAUUUAAUUGUAAGGAUUGUGGGAAGGGUUUCAGUCAUUGUAUAAAACUUACAAUACAUCAACGAAUUCACACUGGGGAGAAACCAUUUAGAUGUAUGGAGUGUGGAAAGAGCUUCAUUCAGAGUUCACACCUUAGUAGACAUCAACGAACUCACACAGGGGAGAAACCAUAUAAAUGUAUGGAGUGUGGGAAGGGUUUCAGUCAGAGUGGAUCUCUUAGAAAACAUCAAAAAUCUCACAGAGAAGCAGUUGCUUAAAUGAAAGGCGUGUGAAACGAGUUUCAAUUACAGUGGAGUUCUUAAAUAACGGCUGCUGACGGUCAUGGGAGAGAACCCAUUUAGUUUUAUGGAGUAUGCCACGUUUUCCCCACAGAGUUCACUUUGUACCUCAUAUCGACAAACUCAUAUAGGGAACAAUAAAUUGUAAAUGCAUGGAGUAUAUUUGAUGUUCUGGUGUUUGUAUGGAAAGUUGUACAUACAUGUAUUAAAGCAAAUAAAAUGUCUCAUAAUAGUAAGUAUGAUGAAAGCUAUAAUGUACCGUUAGGGAUGUGCAGAAUGUGAUUCUGGAGAGCUCCUUGUGAGUGAACAUGUGCUGAGAGUCCGUUGAUAUUUGGUCUUUGGCAGAGAGAGUUGGGAAUGGAGACUUGUGGAAAGUGGAGUGUGAUGGAAAGUUUGUUUUGCUGGGCAGGUGGGCUCACCAAGUGUUUUCUUUUUCCCUGCCAGCAAAUGGUUAACAAAUGACUGCUUCUGAUUGGCCAGGGUUCCAGGAGAGGGAGUUGAAAAGGAGAGGUUUUGGAGAGACAGGUUUCAGGUUAGGAGAUAGGUUGGGGAUAGGUAAUGAGAGGAGAGAGAGUUGGUUUUGGGUAGAAACAUCGACUCUGAGGAAUAUAUCACAAGCUAGAGAAACAAGUCUCUGAGCUUAGGAUGAAGGACAGUGUUUCAUGUGCUGUAAGAGUAACAGGCCAGGAAUUAACUGGGAGGCUGAGGCUGAGCCAGGAGAAGUAGAAGCUGGAAAGAUACAGUCUACUUAGGUCUCAUUCCAGUCAGGAGGGGAGAGAUUCUUCUAGAAAAAGAGAAGUGUCCCAAACCAGUUAAGAGGGGUGUGGAGAUGCCUUGGGUCUGUUGCUUGGAGUACCUCAGGAAAAGGGUUGUCAAAGGGGUGUGUAACUCACAGGAAGUACCACCUUGUUAAGGGAGAGAAAGGAAGACCUGAGUCAGAUAAGGCCCUGCACAUGUGGGAGAGCAGUACAUCUUGCAUUCUUUUACUAAACUACUUAUGGUAUUCUGGAACUUUGGGAGUGUCCCAGGAACCCCCCAUCAUUCAGUUUUUACAAACUCAACACACACACACACACACACACACACACACACACACUACAUACGUUACACUUGUUAUAAAUUCAUAGAAAAUCAACCAUAAAUCGGAUCUGCACCGUUCCACUUUUAUUUUACUCCAUGAAGGAAGGACUAGAAAAAGGGGAAGGUUUGAUACAGAGCAGCCAUAAUCCCUGGAGCAUACCAGCAUGUACACAUGAUCAGCUCUUCCCUCUGGGGGCAGGAAACUGCAAACUCCCCUUUGUCACCUGGAAAGUACUCAUAGGGAGGGGGAAAGGGAACCAGCCAGGUGACAGGACACUCAGAUUACCACCACAACUCCUCCCUUUUUGUGAUGUAUCAAUGAUGUAGUUGUGAUGUAGUUUUAGGGGUGUAGUUUGGGGGAUUAGUAACUAAUAAAAGUUGGGGUCUUCUUUUGUUCUGGCCUUCCAUCUUGCUUCAUCUUGUUGUGGGUGGGAGUCCUGUCGCGACAGUUUCCAAUAAAGGCCAAGCCUACAGGCUGCUGUUUUGCUUCAAAUUGUCCUGGUUGGGGUUUUUGUUUUUUGUCCAAGGGAGCCCUCGGAUUCCUCCGUUAACAGGAGAAAUGUUCUCUCAGUGAGGGUCUAUGCUUUGCACUUAGCAGGAAGGUCCCAUAAUACAGUGCUACCUCGGGUUAAAAACUUAAUUCGUUCUAGAGGUCUGUUCUUAACCUGAAACUGUUCUUAAACUGAGGUACCACUUUAGCUAAUGGGGCCUCCUGCUGCCGCCGCCGCCGCGCAAUUUCUGUUCUCAUCCUGAAGCAAAGUUCUUAACCCAAGGUACUAUUUCUGGGUUAGCGGAGUCUGUAACCUGAAGCGUAUGUAACCUGAAGCGUAUGUAACCUGAAGCGUAUGUAACCCGAGGUACCACUGUAAUUGAGAUGUGCAUUUUGUUUUGUUCUGCCUCUGUUGUGUUCUCAAGUGUCAAAGUUAGCUCCCCUCUGGUCCUUCUGCAUACCAUAGCAACCACCCCUCAAAAUGCACCCCUGGUGUUAGGGCUUUCAUUGAAUGACCAUGAGCAAUAUCCUGGCAGCUAGGGGGUGACCCUCCCUGGAGAGA
Molecule: long non-coding RNA, 9958 nt
Filed under: Podarcis lilfordi (Lilford's wall lizard)
Lineage: Eukaryota; Metazoa; Chordata; Lepidosauria; Squamata; Lacertidae
Source: RNAcentral